Molecule: ribosomal RNA, 254 nt
Filed under: uncultured bacterium
Lineage: Bacteria
Description: partial 16S ribosomal RNA
Rfam family: Bacterial small subunit ribosomal RNA
Source: RNAcentral
UACGUAGGUGACCAGCGUUGUCCGGAUUUACUGGGCGUAAAGAGCGCGCAGGCGGUCGUUCAAGUCGAGUGUGAAAGCCCCCCGGCUCAACUGGGGAGGGUCAUUCGAUACUGAUCGACUUGAAGGCAGGAGAGGGAAGCGGAAUUCCCGGUGUAGUGGUGAAAUGCGUAGAUAUCGGGAGGAACACCAGUGGCGAAGGCGGCUUCCUGGCCUGUUCUUGACGCUGAGGCGCGAAAGCUAGGGGAGCAAACGGG